GAGGACAUAGCUUAGUGACAGAGCAUAUGCUUAGCACGCAUGAGGUCCUAGGUUCAAUCCCCAGUACCUCCA
Molecule: transfer RNA, 72 nt
Filed under: Camelus bactrianus (Bactrian camel)
Lineage: Eukaryota; Metazoa; Chordata; Mammalia; Artiodactyla; Camelidae
Also listed under: 2 other names
Rfam family: tRNA
About the family: Transfer RNA (tRNA) molecules are approximately 80 nucleotides in length.
Source: Rfam by way of RNAcentral